Long non-coding RNA from Oreochromis niloticus (Nile tilapia), 290 nucleotides. RefSeq lists it as uncharacterized. The transcript is spliced from 3 exons. Lineage: Eukaryota; Metazoa; Chordata; Actinopteri; Cichliformes; Cichlidae. The record is from RefSeq and is a predicted model, not a curated record.
GGAGCGUCCUGCGCUGGAGCCGCUGCACCUGCAACUAAUCACCUCACCGGGUGCCGCUAAUCACCCGCCUUCUUGGCAGACCUAUGAAAUCGGGAGGGAGAAGGAGCCAGAAGAUAGGACGAUUGUGUGGGAAGUCACUGAUUCACACCACUUGGCCACGAGCACCGCUGGGGAAGCUGGGAGAAGUCGCUCGCUUGGAACACUGCUUUUGGAUUAUUGCACUGGACUGUUGUUCAUGUUUUUCUCACUCUCCCAAAUGAACAGUGGCCAUAUGGAUGUCCUCUUCUUCC